AACGCACAUUGCGCUCCUCGGCAUUCCGUGGAGCAUGCCUGUUUGAUGCGCAUGAACAAAAUCGGCCACAGGUUGGCUAGGUUAUGAGCUUUCUCACUGUGUGAGUAGUUCAAAGUCACAAAACUUUGAGAGGUCGCGACUGCUGGCAACGGCCCAAUGGCUUAGUCCACCGGCGUCAAAUGAACCCAAGUCGACUGAUAGUAUAUCUAUUUCAGAAACCUUGGGACCAGCAUUUGAUGAUCAACCGAAGGACGGACAUCUGGGAACCGGACCUGCUCUCUGUGGAUCUUUGUUGUGUGGGAUCUUUCCCCUCAGAAAUUCUGCAUCAAAUCAGGUAGGGUUACCCGCUGAACUUAA
RNAcentral lists this unclassified non-coding RNA (357 nucleotides) under uncultured fungus. Its description in RNAcentral is "partial contains 5.8S ribosomal RNA, internal transcribed spacer 2, and large subunit ribosomal RNA". Lineage: Eukaryota; Fungi. The record is from RNAcentral.